This 388-nucleotide ribosomal RNA is filed under the name uncultured bacterium. RNAcentral describes it as "bacterial SSU rRNA". It matches the Rfam family "Bacterial small subunit ribosomal RNA", at positions 370 to 772 of the family's 1533-position model. The record is from RNAcentral.
AAUGGGCGAAAGCCUGACCCAGCAACGCCGCGUGAAGGAAGAAGGCCUUCGGGUUGUAAACUUCUUUUAUGAGGGACGAAGGAAGUGACUGUACCUCAUGAAUAAGCCACGGCUAACUACGUGCCAGCAGCCGCGGUAAUACGUAGGUGGCAAGCGUUGUCCGGAUUUACUGGGUGUAAAGGGCGCGUAGGCGGACUGGCAAGUCAGAUGUGAAAUCCAUGAGCUCAACUCAUGAACUGCAUUUGAAACUGUUGGUCUUGAGUAUCGGAGAGGCAAGCGGAAUUCCUAGUGUAGCGGUGAAAUGCGUAGGUAUUAGGAGGAACACCAGUGGCGAAGGCGGCUUGCUGGACGACAACUGACGCUGAGGCGCGAAAGCGUGGGGAGCAAA